This 460-nucleotide ribosomal RNA is filed under the name Brevibacterium pityocampae. RNAcentral describes it as "bacterial SSU rRNA". It matches the Rfam family "Bacterial small subunit ribosomal RNA", at positions 19 to 486 of the family's 1533-position model. The record is from RNAcentral. Lineage: Bacteria; Bacillati; Actinomycetota; Actinomycetes; Micrococcales; Brevibacteriaceae.
CUGGCUCAGGACGAACGCUGGCGGCGUGCUUAACACAUGCAAGUCGAACGCUGAAGCCUGCAGCUUGCUGUGGGUGGAUGAGUGGCGAACGGGUGAGUAACACGUGAGUAACCUGCCCCUGACUCUGGGAUAAGCCCGGGAAACUGGGUCUAAUACCGGAUAUGACCAUUCUCCGCAUGGAGUGGUGGUGGAAAGUUUUUCGGUUGGGGAUGGGCUCGCGGCCUAUCAGCUUGUUGGUGGGGUGAUGGCCUACCAAGGCGACGACGGGUAGCCGGCCUGAGAGGGCGACCGGCCACACUGGGACUGAGACACGGCCCAGACUCCUACGGGAGGCAGCAGUGGGGAAUAUUGCACAAUGGGGGAAACCCUGAUGCAGCGACGCCGCGUGGGGGAUGACGGCCUUCGGGUUGUAAACCUCUUUCAGUAGGGAAGAAGCCUUCGGGUGACGGUACCUGCAGAA